GAUGAACGCUGGCGGCGUGCCUAAUACAUGCAAGUCGAGCGAACAGACGAGGAGCUUGCUCCUCUGACGUUAGCGGCGGACGGGUGAGUAACACGUGGAUAACCUACCUAUAAGACUGGGAUAACUUCGGGAAACCGGAGCUAAUACCGGAUAAUAUAUUGAACCGCAUGGUUCAAUAGUGAAAGACGGUUUUGCUGUCACUUAUAGAUGGAUCCGCGCCGCAUUAGCUAGUUGGUAAGGUAACGGCUUACCAAGGCAACGAUGCGUAGCCGACCUGAGAGGGUGAUCGGCCACCCUGGAACUGAGACACGGUCCAGACUCCUACGGGAGGCAGCAGUAGGGAAUCCUCCGCGAUGGGCGAAAGCCUGACGGAGCAACGCCGCGUGAGUGAUGAAGGUCUUCGGAUCGUAAAACUCUGUUAUUAGGGAAGAACAAAUGUGUAAGUAACUAUGCACGUCUUGACGGUACCUAAUCAGAAAGCCACGGCUAACUACGUG
This 497-nucleotide ribosomal RNA is filed under the name uncultured bacterium. Its description in RNAcentral is "partial 16S ribosomal RNA". It matches the Rfam family "Bacterial small subunit ribosomal RNA", at positions 28 to 507 of the family's 1533-position model. The record is from RNAcentral.